UUCUUUUCUCCGGGUCAAACCAGGUACCUCCGAGCCAUUUCCAGCUCAGGGGCUGUCUGACCCCCAUUGACCCCAUGUGGCUGCGCCAAUUUGUAAUUUUUGGUCAGAAAAGGCGCGCCGAUCGCAUUCCGCCCUCCACCCCAAAGAAAAAAGCCCAACAAUUGAUGAAGGUCUUGAACGAUGGGCGGUGCAAGUGAAAGUGGUGAAGGGUCAGCGAUCGCAGUUAUUUUCCGGGUACAGUUGCUUUUGCUCUGUCUCCGUCUUUAGCUCUAAAAUGUGGCAAUAAUGUAUGCAUUUGCAUUGUUGUAGAGGCUUUUUGUGUUCGUUGCAAGACACUUGCUAGAGCAUAUAAAAGCUUUGCCAAUUUCUUUACUCUCUGAUACUUGAUUUUAAUGGGUUAUGGAUAAAUUGUGUGCUUUCUGAUAUUUGGGCAAAUACCAUAUUGAACAAUGUGAAAUUCAUAGGCCAAAGAAUGAAAUUGAAAUUUUGAUAUUGAGGAAGACAGUGGAGAAAAAAAAAAGGAAAAAAAAAGAUUUAUAUCAAUCUUUUCGAAGAAUAUUCACCUUCUUGCAGCAGAUUAUGUGCGUUGUCAUGCAGGAUAGGGGCAUAGUAGGGCCUUGCUCCUGAUCUCUUGGCUAUGUCUUCCUUGGAAUUAAAAUGGGUUGAUGGUAUUGCUUCCAUAUGCCUUUUGUGUUGACAAUGUUUACAUGGACUUUUUUGACACGUCUGGUGCUGAAAUCCGUUUUGAAAGGGAUGGUUGGUUGGUUGUUACGUCUGGUGCUAGAAUAGAUGUUCGGAGCAAUAUCACUGUCCCCACUAGCAUUUAUUGUCUGGGUGGAUAAAAUCUGUCCAAAUUGAUUGGUUUUUUCUUUGUCCCCAAGGUGAUGGUUCUUGGAGUAUUCUAAAGUAUACAACAAGGGAAUUGCUGUUCCAUGGAAUCAAGGACGUGAGAACAUCUUGGUGUGUUGGCUGGUUUUCAGUCCAUAGUUUUUACAAGAAAAAGGACGUUGGAAGCUCAAAUAUGGUUUGAUUAUUGGCUUGUGUCUCUUUGUGAAGGCACCAACGAAACUCAUACAUGCGAACAUGCUCCUUUUUCUUGAAUUCAGAGGGAGGAUGGACAGAUUUUAUGGGUGCAUUCCAAAUUAAUUUUCUGUUCACUUUAUCUCCGAGGAGGAGUUUUAUGGCAUUUUAAACUUAUUGCUGUUAAGUAUAUUGAUUUAUAUAAAGGUAUCAUCCAAAUGGGAAUCAGGACCAGACAGAACCCUGUGUAGUACAAAUUCAAUUUGGUGCACUGAGCAGCCUACCCACUCACAUUUCAUUGACUUAUUAUGUGCCCUUCAUGGGGCAAUAAUUGCCCCUUGACCACAAUUUUUGGGGUCUGAAAUGCAUAUCUCAGUGUUGCUUUUGUAUGUAAGAUUCUUUUCAUAUGCAAUUAUUUUUUUUAUACUUAUGGUACCAUCUGGUCAAUCAGCACUGAAUGAAUUGCUUGAAGUUUGGUGGUUUUGACAGAAAAUGGACCUUUUUUUUGUGUCAGAUUUUCCAACAGAUUUUGCUAUGUUCACUGGCUAAGCAACAUUAGAGUUAUCACUGUCUUUAAGUGAGACAUAGAUAUUCUAUUUAAGGUAAGUGAAGUACUUAGGCUUUUUUUACUUUUUGAGAUUCUGUGAUUUGUACAAAUCAUUGAAAAGUAGAUUCAAUGAUAUCGUAAAUAUUUGAGUACUCUUAGAGGAAUGUGUACUCUGUGUUCAUAACUCAGUUGUUCUCUUUAUUUUACAAGUAUUGAAUAGUUAUAGAAAAUUGUCGGAAGUUUGAAUGACUUGAAUGUGUCAUCAAAACUCAUCCCCUAUCACCAAAACUAAUUGGAGUGAUGACCCCUUCUUGUGAAUAUUCUCAAGCAAAGGUCCUUAGCAUCCUAAGAAAAGCGGAAGCUUCCCUUUAUAUUGUGGUGAUUUUAGUCUUCUGAGACUGACUGGUGUUUUGAGUGGUUUCUGAAACAGAGGAAACCAUACUGAACCAAUGCAUUAUGUAAUUAUGAAAGUACACAUGCUGUCGACAACUUUCCAACCAGUGUAUUGUACAGUGAUUAAACAGGUACCUGAAUUGUUUGAACAACAGAAUGCCUAUUCUAACUUUCUGACAUAGAGAUAGAAGAAUCUCUUAAAGAGCAAAAUUUCUCUCCUAUUUGAGUUCACUUUCUUGAUAGAUCCUUCUUUUUGCUGACGUUGGAUGCAUAUGAAGGUGGAUGAAGAUGUAGAAAUUCAUUAACUUUGAUAUUUUAUGGUUGAAAUGAAAGGUACAGAAACUCAUGGAUAUUAUAUGAUUAGCCAGAGCAUUAAACUGGAAAUCCUCACUUUGUACUUUGUAGAGAAAAAAAGGAACAAAUAAAGUGAUUUUUGUGUGAGAUCUGUGCCAGCCUGCUAUGUUGUGCGAGUCUUCUAAAUUAAGAGAAGAACAAAAAAAACCAAAACAAUAAAUAAAUAAAUAAAGUAACAAAGGAUACAAUUAACCAUCUUUGUUUCUGAUUAGUUGGAUGAAUGCCAGUAAAUUUGUUUGUUCAAUUUGUUCAAUAUAGUUUGUCAUUAUGAUAUUCUGUUAUUUUUCAUUUUCAAUUUCAGGUUUUGUCACGAUUCACUACUACUCUAGUAGUAACCUUUAUCAAUUUCUAUUUGCUGUUACUACUACUACUACUAGACACACAUACACAUCAACAUUAUAAUGAAUUAAUAUUAUGAUGAAUUUCUAGGUUCAGACAAUUGUUGAUGUAAAAUUGUAAUCUCUACUGGAACUGAAUUAUUGUGUAACUGAGUUUAAAAAUUAUUAAAUGGAACGUAACUGAAGGGAUUGCUUUAAUGUCAUUUUAUAUUCUGCAUGAUCAUUUUAGAAGCUAAGAUGAAUGCUCUGUAGGUCUGAGCUCCUUCACUCACAUUGCAGUUGCCAGCUCUUUCUCAUUUAGCUAUUGCCAAAAUUUGGUACAAAUUAGUGCUGACCUAGAUUAGCCAAUAAGUGAAACUAUCAUCAUCUCAUCAUCUAAUAUACCCAGUUGUUUUAGCGGUUCAUGGCAGCAACAUAUGAUAUUAAUAUGGCAAGGUGACAGAGGCAACAAGUUGAACAUUGCAACUACAGGUAUCCGGUAUGCCCAUAUUCGUGUCUUGCUCACAUGAAUGGUCAGAUAUGGUGCUGUCCUUUGAAUCCAUUGUUAUCAUAGUGUUACCAUCCCGUAUCUACUUGCAGAUCGGAUGAGAGGGACUGAGGCCUGCCCUUGAUUCAUUUGAGAGGGAGAAAGAGAUGGAGCUGGUAGGGUUGUGAUAGGGUCCAUGUGACAUGUGAAGUUGAAAUGGUUUGUGUGCUUUUGUGGGGUGAAGUGGUAUGAUUGGUUUACAUUGGGACCCCUUUUGGCUCACUUUGAUAGGAGAAGAAGGAAGUAGGGCAAACUUGGGGAUGGCAACUUGUAGGAAGCACUGAAAGACCAGCCCUUCUGCCCAUCAUCUGCUACUGCCGCUGCUAUGAAGCCUUAGUUCCCAGCAAAUGGACAAGUUUGAAAGAUUCUCUUGUUUAUAUGUUUUUUUUUUUUUCCUUUUUCAGGUGCAAUUAAAUUAGUCUAGUUAUCACUUUUCUUCCGCAACUUGUUUUUUAGCACCAAUUAAAAAUUUGCAUCUCUAUGGGGAGCAUCUCAUCUCCCCUUUCUCCUUUCCCCUUUCCCCUUUUCAUGCCUUCUUCAAAGUGUGAUAUGCCCUCUACAUAAUUUGUUUUGGAAUUGUCUCUAAUUCUCUAUACUAACAAAAACAGUGGUCUAUUAACCUUUAA
Prunus persica (peach) is the source of this 3804-nucleotide long non-coding RNA. RefSeq lists it as uncharacterized. The transcript is spliced from 3 exons. NCBI's taxonomy places the organism in Eukaryota, Viridiplantae, Streptophyta, Magnoliopsida, Rosales, Rosaceae. The record is from RefSeq and is a predicted model, not a curated record.